RNAcentral lists this ribosomal RNA (492 nucleotides) under uncultured bacterium. RNAcentral's name for it is "partial 16S ribosomal RNA". It matches the Rfam family "Bacterial small subunit ribosomal RNA", at positions 29 to 507 of the family's 1533-position model. The record is from RNAcentral.
AGUGAACGCUGGCGGUAGGCCUAACACAUGCAAGUCGAACGGCAGCACAGUAAGAGCUUGCUCUUACGGGUGGCGAGUGGCGGACGGGUGAGGAAUACAUCGGAAUCUACUUUUUCGUGGGGGAUAACGUAGGGAAACUUACGCUAAUACCGCAUACGACCUACGGGUGAAAGCAGGGGAUCUUCGGACCUUGCGCGAUCGAAUGAGCCGAUGUCGGAUUAGCUAGUUGGCGGGGUAAAGGCCCACCAAGGCGACGAUCCGUAGCUGGUCUGAGAGGAUGAUCAGCCACACUGGAACUGAGACACGGUCCAGACUCCUACGGGAGGCAGCAGUGGGGAAUAUUGGACAAUGGGCGCAAGCCUGAUCCAGCCAUACCGCGUGAGUGAAGAAGGCCUUCGGGUUGUAAAGCCCUUUUGUUGGGAAAGAAAAGCAGCAGGUUAAUACCCCGCUGUUCUGACGGUACCCAAAGAAUAAGCACCGGCUAACUUCGUG